Molecule: ribosomal RNA, 497 nt
Filed under: uncultured bacterium
Lineage: Bacteria
Description: partial 16S ribosomal RNA
Rfam family: Bacterial small subunit ribosomal RNA
Source: RNAcentral
GAUGAACGCUGGCGGCGUGCCUAAUACAUGCAAGUCGAGCGAACAGAUAAGGAGCUUGCUCCUUUGACGUUAGCGGCGGACGGGUGAGUUACACGUGGAUAACCUACCUAUAAGACUGGGAUAACUUCGGGAAACCGGAGCUAAUACCGGAUAACAUAUUGAACCGCAUGGUUCAAUAGUGAAAGGCGGCUUUGCUGUCACUUAUAGAUGGAUCCGCGCCGCAUUAGCUAGUUGGUAAGGUAACGGCUUACCAAGGCAACGAUGCGUAGCCGACCUGAGAGGGUGAUCGGCCACACUGGAACUGAGACACGGUCCAGACUCCUACGGGAGGCAGCAGUAGGGAAUCUUCCGCAAUGGGCGAAAGCCUGACGGAGCAACGCCGCGUGAGUGAUGAAGGUCUUCGGAUCGUAAAACUCUGUUAUCAGGGAAGAACAAAUGUGUAAGUAACUGUGCACGUCUUGACGGUACCUGAUCAGAAAGCCACGGCUAACUACGUG